This 161-nucleotide ribosomal RNA is filed under the name uncultured bacterium. RNAcentral's name for it is "partial 16S ribosomal RNA". It matches the Rfam family "Bacterial small subunit ribosomal RNA", at positions 355 to 507 of the family's 1533-position model. The record is from RNAcentral.
UAGGGAAUCUUCGGCAAUGGGGGGAACCCUGACCGAGCAACGCCGCGUGAGUGAAGAAGGUUUUCGGAUCGUAAAGCUCUGUUAUAAGCGAAGAACGGGAGUAAGAGUGGAAAGUUUACUCUGUGACGGUAGCUUAUCAGAAAGGGACGGCUAACUACGUG